AAAAUUGUAAAAAAAGAAAAAAAGGUUCGCCCAGGGCGAGGCUCAGCCAUUGCACUGCGGUUGUCUUGACCCCUGUGAAUUCCCCAAAUGCGGCAAUCUCAACUGCAUAAUUUGUGGUAGUGGGGGACUGCGUUCGCGCUCUCCCCUC
Molecule: small nuclear RNA, 148 nt
Filed under: Oreochromis niloticus (Nile tilapia)
Lineage: Eukaryota; Metazoa; Chordata; Actinopteri; Cichliformes; Cichlidae
Description: U1 spliceosomal RNA (ENSONIG00000035913.1)
Rfam family: U1 spliceosomal RNA
About the family: U1 is a small nuclear RNA (snRNA) component of the spliceosome (involved in pre-mRNA splicing). Its 5' end forms complementary base pairs with the 5' splice junction, thus defining the 5' donor site of an intron.
Source: Rfam by way of RNAcentral